GGCCGGUUUCUUCGAUUUUAUAACAGAAGUGGUUACAACGUACCAAGAUAUAAAGUGGUAGGAAAGUCUGGUGCCAGCAGCCGCGGUAAUUCCAGCUCCAAUAGCGUAUAUUAAAGUUGUUGCGAUUAAAAAGCUCGUAGUUGGAUCUCAGGCACGGGCGUGCGGUCCGUCUCGCGACGGUUUUACUGUGCGAAGCUUUCGCCGGGGCUCGGGGCUCGAGUUGGCGGGUGCGUGGCGGCGGCGUUAUGGGGGAGAUGGCGCGUGCUCGGGUCUCGUCCCGUCGCGCGUCUCUUCUCUCGUGCGUCGUUCGUCCGCGGUCGUGGCUCGCGGUCCUCCUCGGUGGGGGGCGUCCCGUCCUAUGGCAUUUGUCCGGUCUCUCCGUCCAUGGUGCUCUUGGCUGAGCGUUAUGGGCGGCCGGAACGUUUACUUUGAAGAAAUUAGAGUGUUCAAAGCAGGCAGGCAGGCCUGAAUAAUGGUGCAUGGAAUAAUGGAAUAGGACCUCCGGUUCUAUUUUGCUGGUUUUCGGAACGAAGAGGUAAUGAUUAAGAGGGGACAGACGGGGGCAUCCGUAUUGCGGUGUUAGAGGUGAAAUUCUUGGAUCAUCGCAAGACGAACAACUGCGAAAGCAUUUGCCAAGCAUGUUUUCAUUAGUCAAGAACGAAAGUCAGAGGUUCGAAGACGAUCAAGAUACCGUCGUAGUUCUGACCAUUAAACGAUGCCCACUAGCGAUCCGCAGGGUGUUGCUUUCAUCGACUCUGCGGGCAGCUUUCGGGGAAAACCAAAGUGUUUUGGGUUCCGGGGAAGUAUGUUGCAAGCUGAAACUUAAAGGAAAUGGACGGAGGGCACACCCUGGAGUGAGAGAGCUCUGCGCGAGAGG
RNAcentral lists this ribosomal RNA (877 nucleotides) under Pila globosa. Its description in RNAcentral is "bacterial SSU rRNA". It matches the Rfam family "Eukaryotic small subunit ribosomal RNA", at positions 489 to 1197 of the family's 1831-position model. The record is from RNAcentral. Lineage: Eukaryota; Metazoa; Mollusca; Gastropoda; Architaenioglossa; Ampullariidae.